RNAcentral lists this transfer RNA (58 nucleotides) under Erinaceus europaeus (western European hedgehog). It matches the Rfam family "tRNA", at positions 8 to 63 of the family's 71-position model. From Rfam's summary of the family: Transfer RNA (tRNA) molecules are approximately 80 nucleotides in length. Their secondary structure includes four short double-helical elements and three loops (D, anti-codon, and T loops). The record is from Rfam by way of RNAcentral. Lineage: Eukaryota; Metazoa; Chordata; Mammalia; Eulipotyphla; Erinaceidae.
UAGCUCAGUUAGUAGAGCAUGAGACUCUUAAUCUCAUGGUCCUGGGUUCAUGCCCCAC